This 69-nucleotide transfer RNA is filed under the name Crossorhombus kobensis (Kobe flounder). RNAcentral's name for it is "tRNA-Arg". It matches the Rfam family "tRNA". From Rfam's summary of the family: Transfer RNA (tRNA) molecules are approximately 80 nucleotides in length. Their secondary structure includes four short double-helical elements and three loops (D, anti-codon, and T loops). Further hydrogen bonds mediate the characteristic L-shaped molecular structure. tRNAs have two regions of fundamental functional importance: the anti-codon, which is responsible for specific mRNA codon recognition, and the 3' end, to which the tRNAs corresponding amino acid is attached (by aminoacyl-tRNA synthetases). tRNAs cope with the degeneracy of the genetic code in two manners: having more than one tRNA (with a specific anti-codon) for a particular amino acid; and 'wobble' base-pairing, i.e. permitting non-standard base-pairing at the 3rd anti-codon position. Lineage: Eukaryota; Metazoa; Chordata; Actinopteri; Pleuronectiformes; Bothidae. The record is from RNAcentral.
CGGGGGCUAGUUUAACAAAAACAUAUGAUUUCGGCUCAUAAAAUUGUGGUUAAAGCCCACAGCCGCUAA